This 405-nucleotide long non-coding RNA is filed under the name Homo sapiens (human). RNAcentral's name for it is "HSALNT0320326". The record is from RNAcentral. Lineage: Eukaryota; Metazoa; Chordata; Mammalia; Primates; Hominidae.
UUCAAAGAGUCUGUGGGUUAUCUCAGCUUUCCUGUUCUUCUUGAUUUUUGAAUGUGAAGGCAGGGAUUUCAACCUGGGCAACAAGUCCACAGAACAUGAGAUUUCUGAAGGUGUGUGGGAUACAUCAUGGUUACAUAAAAAUCCUUUCACUAUAGUUCCUGCUUCCCUAUCUUCAAAAUGAUUCCCUGAAGACUUCCGCCAUGACGGUCUAAAGCCUAACCUCUGAACUGUGGAUGGAAAAUUGAACUCCUUGAUGUGAUCUCUGCACAUCAUGCAACCCUAAACCUAAAUAUAUUCUCUGUGUGGGAGCCCCAUUAUUUUUAGUCUAAUACAUUUUAAGUCAUCUUAAAAAAUUAUAUUUUGUUUUCUUUUAUAUGGUCGAUUUUACCUUGUUUUCUUUGACUA